AACAUGUCGUCUGCUCACACGAUGGAUUUAACAUCAAAAUGUUUUCAUCACAAAAGACCGGAAUCCUUGAAGUAACCUUGCUGUUUACAUCGUAAGACACGGUUAAUUUCCUUACCAACCACACCAUCAGCUUGCAAGAAGUCCUCAGCAGAUGAAAGUUGUGAUUACACGCUCCACUUCAGGAAAUUACCGCAAAUACUGGUUCAUUAAGAUGGUGAGGAGCAGCAGUUUCUUCACAAGAGAUGCACCAGGGCUUUGAUGAGAACACUUAGAUUGCAGCU
This is a long non-coding RNA of Asterias rubens (European starfish), 281 nucleotides long. RefSeq lists it as uncharacterized. The record is from RefSeq and is a predicted model, not a curated record. The transcript is spliced from 3 exons. NCBI's taxonomy places the organism in Eukaryota, Metazoa, Echinodermata, Asteroidea, Forcipulatida, Asteriidae.